RNAcentral lists this ribosomal RNA (1424 nucleotides) under uncultured Sulfitobacter sp. RNAcentral's name for it is "partial 16S ribosomal RNA". It matches the Rfam family "Bacterial small subunit ribosomal RNA". Lineage: Bacteria; Pseudomonadati; Pseudomonadota; Alphaproteobacteria; Rhodobacterales; Roseobacteraceae. The record is from RNAcentral.
UCCAGAAACAAACCGCUGGGCGGCCAGGCCUUAACAACAUGCAAGUCGAGCGCCAGUCUCCGGACCGAGCGGCGGACGGUUAGUUACGCGGUGGACAUAACCUUUUUUACAGAAAUAGCCCUUCGGAAAACUUAGAGUAAUAUCCGUAUAAAGCCCUUCGAGGAAAGAUUUUUUCGGAAAAGAUUGGCCCCGUUUGGUUUAAUAGUUUGGUGGGGUUAUGCCUUACCAAGGUUACGAAUCUAUAGGUGGUUUUAGGGAUGAAUCAGCAACAUUGGGACUGAAGCACCGGCCCAGAAUUCCUAACGGAGGCAGCCAGUGGGGAAUUUUAGACCAUUGGCGGCAAGCCUGAUCUAGCCAUGCCGCGUGUGUGGAUGAAGGUCUUAGGAUCGUAAAGCACUUCGCCAGGGAUGAUAAUGACAGUACCUGGUAAAGAAACCCCGGCUAACUCCGUGCCAGCAGCCGCGGUAAUACGGAGGGGGUUAGCGUUGUUCGGAAUUACUGGGCGUAAAGCGUACGUAGGCGGAUCAGAAAGUUAGGGGUGAAAUCCCGAGGCUCAACCUCGGAACUGCCUCUAAAACUCCUGGUCUUGAGUUCGAGAGAGGUGAGUGGAAUUCCAAGUGUAGAGGUGAAAUUCGUAGAUAUUUGGAGGAACACCAGUGGCGAAGGCGGCUCACUGGCUCGAUACUGACGCUGAGGUACGAAAGUGUGGGGAGCAAACAGGAUUAGAUACCCUGGUAGUCCACACCGUAAACGAUGAAUGCCAGUCGUCGGGCAGUAUACUGUUCGGUGACACACCUAACGGAUUAAGCAUUCCGCCUGGGGAGUACGGUCGCAAGAUUAAAACUCAAAGGAAUUGACGGGGGCCCGCACAAGCGGUGGAGCAUGUGGUUUAAUUCGAAGCAACGCGCAGAAUCUUACCAACCCUGACAUCCUGUGCUAACUCGAGAGAUCGAGUGUUAACUUCGUAACGCAGUGACAGGUGCUGCAUGCUGUCGUCAGCCUCGUGUUCUGGAAUGUUCCGGUUAAGUCCGGCAACAACGCAACCCACAUCCUUAGUUGCCAGCAGUUCGGCUGGGCACUCUAGGGAAACUGCCCGUGAUAAGCGGGAGGAAGGUGUGGAUGACGUCAAGUCCUCAUGGCCCUUACGGGUUGGGCUACACGCGUGCUACAAUGGCAGUGACAAUGGGUUAAUCCCAAAAAGCUGUCUCAGUUCGGAUUGGGGUCUGCAACUCGACCCCAUGAAGUCGGAAUCGCUAGUAAUCGCGUAACAGCAUGACGCGGUGAAUACGUUCCCGGGCCUUGUACACACCGCCCGUCACACCAUGGGAGUUGGUUCUACCCGACGACGCUGCGCUAACCCUUCGGGGAGGCAGGCGGCCACGGUAGGAUCAGCGACUGGGGUGAAGUCGUAACAAGGUAGCCGU